AGAACAAGCUGGGAAGCUUGACCAUAGUGGGUGACAGUCCCGUAUUCGAAAUCUCAACAGCGGUACUAAGCGUACGAAAAGUAGGGCGGGACACAUGAAAUCCUGUCUGAAUAUGGGGGGACCAUCCUCCAAGGCUAAAUACUCAUCAUCGACCGAUAGUGAACCAGUACCGUGAGGGAAAGGCGAAAAGAACCCCGGGAGGGGAGUGAAACAGAACCUGAAACCUGAUGCAUACAAACAGUGGGAGCGCCCUAGAGGUGUGACUGCGUACCUUUUGUAUAAUGGGUCAACGACUUA
RNAcentral lists this ribosomal RNA (297 nucleotides) under Klebsiella pneumoniae. RNAcentral's name for it is "partial 23S ribosomal RNA". It matches the Rfam family "Bacterial large subunit ribosomal RNA", at positions 334 to 630 of the family's 2925-position model. The record is from RNAcentral. Lineage: Bacteria; Pseudomonadati; Pseudomonadota; Gammaproteobacteria; Enterobacterales; Enterobacteriaceae.